This 1328-nucleotide ribosomal RNA is filed under the name Triticum aestivum (bread wheat). RNAcentral's name for it is "partial small subunit ribosomal RNA". The record is from RNAcentral. Lineage: Eukaryota; Viridiplantae; Streptophyta; Magnoliopsida; Poales; Poaceae.
CUGCGGCAUCUGUUUCUGGGUGGCUAUAGCGAGUCAAGGCCCGUGGCGGCGGCAGAAAUUCGACAGGGAGCGGCGAGCAGGAGAUAGGGGAGCACGCGCCGCGUUGGUUGGGCUCGGAUGGGGUGGUGCGCUACGGGACGAGCGACCACCCGUGCAAGGCGUCGCUUGGGUGGCGGGCGCCCCGGAAGGCAAGCCACUGUCGCCGCGUGCCCGUGCGGCGUGCGCCAUCCGAGGAGGUACCUGGCGCGGCUCCCCGGCGGCUAGCGCGCUAUGUUCCGGUCCUACGUGUCCCCGCUGAUCGUUUACCACGAGUCGUUUCACGUCGAGUUGUCAAGUCUAAAACCGUCCUGUAAGGUUAAAAUCACUACCAAUCGUACGAACGCAUGAAGACAAAGAACCUUGAUGAAGACCAAUGACUAAACGUUAGUGCGCGCUAACGUCAAAGUAACGGAAAGAGCACACACAACCCGGAGGAAAGAAGAAACUAUCGUAGGUGAUACCACUGGUUUUCGAUGGAUACCCGGAUAAGUAGGAAGGUCGUACAAUAACACUAGGACAAACGCAUAUAGAAAAUGUUGCACGAUUCUCACUUACGUCAGGACCGCCAGGAUGAGAGCAGCAAGUGACCCAAGCCCUAGCGAUAGUCAUGCUUGAGUGACGAUCACCUCACGUACUCCACCUCUAGGUCCUCCUCCUCGGUUGCCAACCGAGUCCCAGUUGGAGUCGGGCCCUUACUUCCAGUCGUAGGUCCUAGGCCCUCAUUGCGAUGCUCGCUUUUGAGACCACUAUGCGUCGUUGUCCCCGUCGGAGGUGUUAGGCCACAAGUGUAGCAGACUAGUAAGUCUAGUUCUGCUCUCCACUAGGUUUACACACUUAUCGAUCGAAACUAGACGCGUCAUCAGUAUCGAGCAGUCUGGAGUCUUAGUGUUACCACCGUUCUUAUCUAUGUGCCCUCCUCUAGAAGGACCGGAAACGUAGCCUCCGUUGCACGGUGGAUCUCAAACCGGUACCCACAUCAAUCAGAUCGUCAAACACUGUAUUUUAUGGAUCAAAGAACUCACAUUCGUAAUAUGUUUUAGUGUGGUCUUUUCGUCUCACGUCUCUACCACCAACACAAAAUGCAUCAUCGGUGUGUCCCUGUAUCCCUUUACUCUGUAUCAUACGCUCUCGAGGAAUCGAAACGAACACUCUUCGAAAAUGCUUAAUAUAAACAGAAAAAAAAUGCUUAAUAUAAACAGUUCUCACUAAAAACUUACCCACAAUGUGUUAAACAGACUUAAGUGUUGGUAUAUAUGCUCACACACAGAGCUCUCUCUACCUUACGGUCA